GACGAACGCUGGCGGCGUGCUUAACACAUGCAAGUCGAACGGAAAGGCCCUGCUUUUGUGGGGUGCUCGAAUGGCGAACGGGUGAGUAACAAGUGAGUAACCUGCCCUUGACUUUGGGAUAACUUCAGGAAACUGGGGCUAAUACCGGAUAGGAGCUCCUGCUGCAUGGUGGGGGUUGGAAAGUUUCGGCGGUUGGGGAUGGACUCGCGGCUUAUCAGCUUGUUGGUGGGGUAGUGGCUUACCAAGGCUUUGACGGGUAGCCGGCCUGAGAGGGUGACCGGCCACAUUGGGACUGAGAUACGGCCCAGACUCCUACGGGAGGCAGAAGUGGGGAAUAUUGCACAAUGGGCGGAAGCCUGAUGCAGCAACGCCGCGUGCGGGAUGACGGCCUUCGGGUUGUAAACCGCUUUCGCCUGUGACGAAGCGUGAGUGACGGUAAUGGGUAAAGAAGCACCGGCUAACUACGUG
This 468-nucleotide ribosomal RNA is filed under the name uncultured bacterium. Its description in RNAcentral is "partial 16S ribosomal RNA". It matches the Rfam family "Bacterial small subunit ribosomal RNA", at positions 28 to 507 of the family's 1533-position model. The record is from RNAcentral.